UCGUAACAAGGUCUCCGUAGGUGAACCUGCGGAGGGAUCAUUACACAAAUAUGAAGGCGGGCUGGAACCUCUCGGGGUUACAGCCUUGCUGAAUUAUUCACCCUUGUCUUUUGCGUACUUCUUGUUUCCUUGGUGGGUUCGCCCACCACUAGGACAAACAUAAACCUUUUGUAAUUGCAAUCAGCGUCAGUAACAAAUUAAUAAUUACAACUUUCAACAACGGAUCUCUUGGUUCUGGCAUCGAUGAAGAACGCAGCGAAAUGCGAUAAGUAGUGUGAAUUGCAGAAUUCAGUGAAUCAUCGAAUCUUUGAACGCACAUUGCGCCCUUUGGUAUUCCAAAGGGCGUGCCUGUUCGAGCGUCAUUUGUACCCUCAAGCUUUGCUUGGUGUUGGGCGUCUUGUCUCUAGCUUUGCUGGAGACUCGCCUUAAAGUAAUUGGCAGCCGGCCUACUGGUUUCGGAGCGCAGCACAAGUCGCACUCUCUAUCAGCAAAGGUCUAGCAUCCAUUAAGCCUUUUUUUCAACUUUUGACCUCGGAUCAGGUAGGGAUACCCGCUGAACUUAAGCAUAUCA
RNAcentral lists this ribosomal RNA (571 nucleotides) under uncultured fungus. RNAcentral's name for it is "eukaryotic LSU rRNA". The stretch from base 209 to 362 matches the Rfam family "5.8S ribosomal RNA". The record is from RNAcentral. Lineage: Eukaryota; Fungi.